Molecule: long non-coding RNA, 622 nt
Filed under: Bos mutus (wild yak)
Lineage: Eukaryota; Metazoa; Chordata; Mammalia; Artiodactyla; Bovidae
Description: lncRNA (ENSBMUG00000024230.1)
Source: RNAcentral
CGGAUAGCUAAAGUAUCUGAGGACCCCUUCUUUUCCCCUCCUAAGGGUCAGGUUUCCUCACCUGUGUCACUUUUGGGGUGACUCUCUUGGCUCCGAAAAUAAACUGCGGAGAGCUCUGCGUCGCUCUGUUGCCUGGGUAACAACUUUGUUUCCCAACUCCCCCAACCCCCACCUCCGGGUUCCCGCUUGACUUUGCUGGCCAAUCAUGGAGGAGUCUUCUUUGACCCCCUCAUGGGAAUCAACCAAUCGGAGCCCGUGCCUGUUGGGGUCUGUAGCCGCCCUUUCUAAUUAACUAGGUCUACCCCUUUAAGCGUCGGUCUCAGUGAGCGUCGCUCCAGAGGGAACGCGCCCACUGCGGAGACCGGUUUUUUCCGGCCCCAGAAGGCCCCGACCCCGCCUCUCUCGCUGUCUCGGCCGCUUCACGAUUUACUUCGAAGUGCCACCAGGAUUCUUCUAUCUGCACUGCUGCUACUGGGCCCUCAUUUGAUGCCCCAGUAACUUCCACUGGAAUGUUUGGUGAUACAUCUUUGGGAUUUGGAUUAAGUUUCUCUGGAGCAUAUGGAGCAGCUGCUGUUGCAUCUAGUAAGAUUUUACGAUUAUUGGGAUGUAUUUGGAUGCUCAC